CAGUAGCCGCGGGAAAACAGAGGGUGCGAGCGUUAAUCGGAUUUACUGGGCGUAAAGCGUGCGUAGGCGGCUAAUUGAGUCGGAUGUGAAAUCCCCGAGCUUAACUUGGGAAUUGCAUUCGAUACUGGUUAGCUAGAGUGUGGGAGAGGAUGGUAGAAUUCCAGGUGUAGCGGUGAAAUGCGUAGAGAUCUGGAGGAAUACCGAUGGCGAAGGCAGCCAUCUUGCCUAACACUGACGCUGAGGUACGAAAGCAUGGGGAGCAAACAGGAUUAGAUACCCCGGUAGUCCCUGUCUCUUAUAC
RNAcentral lists this ribosomal RNA (301 nucleotides) under uncultured bacterium. RNAcentral describes it as "partial 16S ribosomal RNA". It matches the Rfam family "Bacterial small subunit ribosomal RNA", at positions 509 to 807 of the family's 1533-position model. The record is from RNAcentral.